RNAcentral lists this ribosomal RNA (1343 nucleotides) under uncultured bacterium. RNAcentral's name for it is "16S ribosomal RNA". It matches the Rfam family "Bacterial small subunit ribosomal RNA", at positions 28 to 1378 of the family's 1533-position model. The record is from RNAcentral.
GACGAACGCUGGCGGCGUGCUUAACACAUGCAAGUCGAACGGAAAGGCCCUGCUUUUGUGGGGUGCUUGAGUGGCGAACGGGUGAGUAACACGUGAGUAACCUGCCCUUGACUUUGGGAUAACUUCAGGAAACUGGGGCUAAUACCGGAUAGGAGCUCCUGCUGCAUGGUGGGGGUUGGAAAGUUUCGGCGGUUGGGGAUGGACUCGCGGCCUAUCAGCUUGUUGGUGGGGUAGUGGCUUACCAAGGCUUUGACGGGUAGCCGGCCUGAGAGGGUGGCCGGCCACAUUGGGACUGAGAUACGGCCCAGACUCCUACGGGAGGCAGCAGUGGGGAAUAUUGCACAAUGGGCGGAAGCCUGAUGCAGCAACGCCGCGUGCGGGAUGACGGCCUUCGGGUUGUAAACCGCUUUCGCCUGUGACGAAGCGUGAGUGACGGUAAUGGGUAAAGAAGCACCGGCUAACUACGUGCCGGCAGCCGCGGUGAUACGUAGGGUGCGAGCGUUGUCCGGAUUUAUUGGGCGUAAAGGGCUCGUAGGUGGUUGAUCGCGUCGGAAGUGUAAUCUUGGGGCUUAACCCUGAGCGUGCUUUCGAUACGGGUUGACUUGAGGAAGGUAGGGGAGAAUGGAAUUCCUGGUGGAGCGGUGGAAUGCGCAGAUAUCAGGAGGAACACCAGUGGCGAAGGCGGUUCUCUGGGCCUUUCCUGACGCUGAGGAGCGAAAGCGUGGGGAGCGAACAGGCUUAGAUACCCUGGUAGUCCACGCUGUAAACGGUGGGUACUAGGUGUGGGGUCCAUUCCACGGGUUCCGUGCCGUAGCUAACGCUUUAAGUACCCCGCCUGGGGAGUACGGCCGCAAGGCUAAAACUCAAAGGAAUUGACGGGGCCCCGCACAAGCGGCGGAGCAUGCGGAUUAAUUCGAUGCAACGCGUAGAACCUUACCUGGGUUUGACAUGGAUCGGGAGUGCUCAGAGAUGGGUGUGCCUCUUUUGGGGUCGGUUCACAGGUGGUGCAUGGCUGUCGUCAGCUCGUGUCGUGAGAUGUUGGGUUAAGUCCCGCAACGAGCGCAACCCUUGUUCACUGUUGCCAGCACGUUAUGGUGGGGACUCAGUGGAGACCGCCGGGGUCAACUCGGAGGAAGGUGGGGAUGACGUCAAGUCAUCAUGCCCCUUAUGUCCAGGGCUUCACGCAUGCUACAAUGGCUGGUACAGAGAGUGGCGAGCCUGUGAGGGUGAGCGAAUCUCGGAAAGCCGGUCUCAGUUCGGAUUGGGGUCUGCAACUCGACCUCAUGAAGUCGGAGUCGCUAGUAAUCGCGGAUCAGCAACGCUGCGGUGAAUAAGUUCCCGGG